This 1304-nucleotide long non-coding RNA is filed under the name Coffea arabica (coffee). RNAcentral describes it as "long non-coding RNA (CARA_LNC005712)". The record is from RNAcentral. Lineage: Eukaryota; Viridiplantae; Streptophyta; Magnoliopsida; Gentianales; Rubiaceae.
AUCUAUGCUGCAGAAUUAAGAUUAGAUUGCCUUUUAGUUUGUUGCCAUGUUAUUUAUAGUUCUUCACUAUCUGCUCCAUCAGCCAUUUUUGCAGUCUUGUAGUUGAGUAAUAUCUAUCAAAACUUGACACAUAUCAGGAAAGGUGUAAAUUUAAGUAUAUAAUAGCAUCUUAGGAUUGAAAAUUCCAUAAGAAAAAACGGCUAAGGAUAUGACUCAUGCUUUCCUAUUCUUUAUGCUUCUUCAAAGUUUAAGACCUAAUAAUAUGUCAGGAUGAAAAAUAGGUGGCCUGAAUUGAGGAAUGAGGAAAGGUGUAAAUUUAAGUUUAUAAUAGCAUCUUAGGAUUGAAAAUUCCAUAAGAAAGUACGGCUAAGGAUAUGACUCUUGCUUUCCUAUUCUUUAUGCUUAUUCAAAGUUUAAGACCUAAUAAUAUGUCAGGAUGAAAAAUAUGUGGCCUGAAUUGUCAAGAAAAUACUUUUUCUUAAUAGUGUUUCCUCCAUCCCCUCCUUGCCCCACUUAACAGUGGAAAGAAAUAAAGAACAGUAGAGAAGGAGAAUGCAGAAGUAUUUUUGUGAAAAAUACCUGAUAUAAUUGAUGACUAAUAUGGAGCUUACUACGAAAUGCCCUUUGGAAACAUACUGCUAUGUGUUCAUGAUUCUUCUUUUUCCAUUAAAGCUCCAAAGGUUUUUCAAGGUAAGCUUGCAAGCUUAUUGAAUGUGUUACUUACCAAGAAUGAAAGAACGAAAAAGAUAAAAUUAUACCUUUUUUAGGCUUCUCUAACCAUAGAUGUCCUUUAUGUAAGUGCUUUACUUUGAUCAAACUUUCAUAAUGUAAUUAUUUGGCUUAUUCCAUUUUGCUUCUAGAAUGAGAAAGUAAUUAUUCUUCUUUAAACGGGAAUACUAGAGAUUUGGCCCUCUGCUAUUAUCAUCAUGAAGUGCAAUGUUAAGAUUGGCUUGUGCCUAAUCAGAUGAAAUUAGAAUAUUCUGCUAUAUUUUGUCGGCUUUUAUGAUGUUCAUUCCUGUGAUACUCAUGUUGCUGAUGCUAUUUCAUGGCUAUUAGUGUCACACGUUUGAUGAUUUACCCUUUUUUAUAUCUUGACAGUCCAUGGUAGUAGCAGAUAUCUGUGUAUGCCUUUUACUUCCACGUGCUUGCUGUGUCCAUUGGGUUACUAGACAUGCAGUCGAGAUAUAUGACUCUCUCUUCUCUGCAUUUCUUCUCCAUUGGACUAUUUACAGAAUUGCCGAGGCAUUCACAAGUAGUAAACAUGCACCUCACAUAGUCUUAACUGGCUUGGUUUUCCCCCCAUA